GGCGGCGUGCUUAACACAUGCAAGUCGAACGAUGAAGCCGCUUCGGUGGUGGAUUAGUGGCGAACGGGUGAGUAACACGUGGGCAAUCUGCCCUGCACUCUGGGACAAGCCCUGGAAACGGGGUCUAAUACCGGAUACGACCUGCCGAGGCAUCUCGGUGGGUGGAAAGCUCCGGCGGUGCAGGAUGAGCCCGCGGCCUAUCAGCUUGUUGGUGGGGUGAUGGCCUACCAAGGCGACGACGGGUAGCCGGCCUGAGAGGGCGACCGGCCACACUGGGACUGAGACACGGCCCAGACUCCUACGGGAGGCAGCAGUGGGGAAUAUUGCACAAUGGGCGAAAGCCUGAUGCAGCGACGCCGCGUGAGGGAUGACGGCCUUCGGGUUGUAAACCUCUUUCAGCAGGGAAGAAGCGCGAGUGACGGUACCUGCAGAAGAAGCGCCGGCUAACUACGUGCCAGCAGCCGCGGUAAUACGUAGGGCGCAAGCGUUGUCCGGAAUUAUUGGGCGUAAAGAGCUCGUAGGCGGCUUGUCGCGUCGGAUGUGAAAGCCCGGGGCUUAACCCCGGGUCUGCAUUCGAUACGGGCAGGCUAGAGUUCGGUAGGGGAGAUCGGAAUUCCUGGUGUAGCGGUGAAAUGCGCAGAUAUCAGGAGGAACACCGGUGGCGAAGGCGGAUCUCUGGGCCGAUACUGACGCUGAGGAGCGAAAGCGUGGGGAGCGAACAGGAUUAGAUACCCUGGUAGUCCACGCCGUAAACGGUGGGCACUAGGUGUGGGCAACAUUCCACGUUGUCCGUGCCGCAGCUAACGCAUUAAGUGCCCCGCCUGGGGAGUACGGCCGC
RNAcentral lists this ribosomal RNA (838 nucleotides) under Streptomyces sp. IM-7464. Its description in RNAcentral is "bacterial SSU rRNA". It matches the Rfam family "Bacterial small subunit ribosomal RNA", at positions 38 to 889 of the family's 1533-position model. The record is from RNAcentral. Lineage: Bacteria; Bacillati; Actinomycetota; Actinomycetes; Kitasatosporales; Streptomycetaceae.